GCGUCCUUAGUUCAGUUGGUAGAACGCGGGUCUCCAAAACCCGAUGGCGGGGGUUCGAGUCCUCCAGGGCGCG
Molecule: transfer RNA, 73 nt
Filed under: Cyanobacteria bacterium SW_9_44_58
Lineage: Bacteria; Bacillati; Cyanobacteriota
Also listed under: 1 other name
Description: tRNA-Trp
Rfam family: tRNA
About the family: Transfer RNA (tRNA) molecules are approximately 80 nucleotides in length. Their secondary structure includes four short double-helical elements and three loops (D, anti-codon, and T loops). Further hydrogen bonds mediate the characteristic L-shaped molecular structure. tRNAs have two regions of fundamental functional importance: the anti-codon, which is responsible for specific mRNA codon recognition, and the 3' end, to which the tRNAs corresponding amino acid is attached (by aminoacyl-tRNA synthetases). tRNAs cope with the degeneracy of the genetic code in two manners: having more than one tRNA (with a specific anti-codon) for a particular amino acid; and 'wobble' base-pairing, i.e. permitting non-standard base-pairing at the 3rd anti-codon position.
Source: RNAcentral